Molecule: long non-coding RNA, 359 nt
Filed under: Homo sapiens (human)
Lineage: Eukaryota; Metazoa; Chordata; Mammalia; Primates; Hominidae
Description: non-protein coding lnc-RNF207-2:1
Source: RNAcentral
CAGAAGGCCCGUGAAGGGAGGGCCCCCUCUCACUGCCUCGCAGGGGCACUGGGGGAACCCACCUGAGACACGCAGGAUCGGCAGCAGUUUCCCUUCUUCCCGUUCAAUUUUAUUGCCAGCAAACCCCAAACAAAAGACCCUCUGCAUUCAUCCCUGGGCAAGGAGAGAAAGCCGCCCCCAUCAUUAACCCUGGCUCCAAUUCCCAAGGCGAGGCUGAAAGUCAAGAUAUCGUUCAAGAAAGAACAGUUCUAACUGCUUAAUCUGGCAACAAAUUAGAGCCGAGAUGCUCAUCAGUCAUAAUCCUCUCCCCAUCCUGUUCUUCCCGAUGACUGCAACUAGGUAAUAUUAUUUAAUGUCCA